AUUGAACGCUGGCGGCAGGCCUAACACAUGCAAGUCGAGCGGGGUUUUCGGACCUAGCGGCGGACGGGUGAGUAAUGCGUAGGAAGCUGCCCGAUAGAGGGGGAUACCAGUUGGAAACGACUGUUAAUACCGCAUAAUGUCUACGGACCAAAGUGUGGGACCUUCGGGCCACAUGCUAUCGGAUGCGCCUACGUGGGAUUAGCUAGUUGGUGAGGUAAUGGCUCACCAAGGCGACGAUCGCUAGCUGGUUUGAGAGGAUGAUCAGCCACACUGGAACUGAGACACGGUCCAGACUCCUACGGGAGGCAGCAGUGGGGAAUAUUGGACAAUGGGCGCAAGCCUGAUCCAGCCAUGCCGCGUGUGUGAAGAAGGCCUUCGGGUUGUAAAGCACUUUCAGUGAGGAGGAAGGGUGGUGUGUUAAUAGCACAUCAUUUUGACGUUACUCGCAGAAGAAGCACCGGCUAACUCUGUGCCAGCCGCCGCUGUAA
Molecule: ribosomal RNA, 488 nt
Filed under: uncultured bacterium
Lineage: Bacteria
Description: partial 16S ribosomal RNA
Rfam family: Bacterial small subunit ribosomal RNA
Source: RNAcentral